Non-coding RNA from Triticum aestivum (bread wheat), 125 nucleotides. The record is from Rfam. Lineage: Eukaryota; Viridiplantae; Streptophyta; Magnoliopsida; Poales; Poaceae.
AUGGUACUCCCUCCGUCCGAAAAUACUUGUCGAAAAAAUCGAUAAAAAUAGAUGUAUCUUAAACUAAAAUAUGUCUAGAUACAACCAUUUCUCCGACAAGUAUUUUCGGACGGAGGGAGUAGAAG